Molecule: long non-coding RNA, 823 nt
Organism: Phragmites australis (common reed)
Lineage: Eukaryota; Viridiplantae; Streptophyta; Magnoliopsida; Poales; Poaceae
Exons: 3
Source: RefSeq, a predicted model, not a curated record
CGAAUAUGGCCCACAGUGCCGUAUUCGGCACCUCAGUUGCCGAAUUGCGCCGGCCGCCGUCGUUUCUCCACGUCACGUCAAUCAAUUUUGCGUCGCGUCAGUCAUUUGUUGCCUCCCGCGUGCAUGUGGCCGGUGCAAACUCAUGGAACUCAGGAUUUUGGCGCCACAUGGAGAGAUCAUGCUUAAAUUGAGGAUGCGGGGAGGAAACAGCAGUUGAGCAGAGAAAGGAGAAGAGAAGGGGAGCAGCAGAGGACGAACGUGAGGAGCAGCAGCUCGAGUUUAGGAAGCAGCAGAAGAAGAGCUUUCGUACCGCCUUAAAUCAUUAUCAUGGCUCAUGGUGGUCUUCCCGAGCUUCUUCAGCAGCGGUACGACGAGAACCAUAGGGGAAGGAUGAUAUUCACGGGACAACAGUUGGGUCCGUUGCGAGCCCAGAGUGUGCACAAGAUUAAGGAGUUGGACUCUCGAUUCCACGAGCCACUCGCACAAGCGGGACUACUACCUUUCGCUCUCAUGAUGGCCGGAGCUCCCAUGGAGGUCGGUGGUAGGACACCUCUGCCGGCAAUUGAUGAGGCACUGCUCACAGGUCUCGUCGACCGCUGGCGUCCUAAGACGCACACUUUCCACUUUCCUUUUGGUGAGAUGGCAGUAACACUGAGGGACGUGGCCAUGCUGACCGGGCUGCCAAUCAGGGGUGCCCCGUUAAUAGUUUCGCGACCCGCAAGGGAGCAGUGGAAGGGUUAUGUUGCGGAUAGGUAAUUAUUUGUUAUGUAAUGCACUUAAAAUAUUACAGUGCUAUUAAAGCGUCAUUGACCAUCUGCAUCUU